Molecule: long non-coding RNA, 216 nt
Filed under: Mytilus galloprovincialis (Mediterranean mussel)
Lineage: Eukaryota; Metazoa; Mollusca; Bivalvia; Mytilida; Mytilidae
Source: RNAcentral
CUAAAUUAUAAUCCAUAGAAUUUCUUAAUACUUUGCCAAAAUGUAGUUUAUAUCCUGCUUGUUUAAGAACAUUAAUAAAAAGAAUGGGUCACGUGACUUAUUUUCAUACUACAGGUUGAGCAAAAUUGUCAAAUUUUGUAUAGAUUAUGUAUGGAAAACCCAAUUUUCGCUCAUAAAACGAAAACUACACCAUAGAAUUUUGAGAUAAAUUAUGAG